AGACAGUCCUUCCAUUCAGCCCCAGUGUCUUUUUAAAGAGGGUUCUUUUUGUUUGAUAUGUGUCAAGAAUUUGUGACUUCUUAUACUCCAUGUUAAGUAUACAAAACUAGGAGGUUGUUGAUCUGACCGAGAAGGAUGUAUAAAGACUGUGAUUCUAAGAAGAUCCGUGAAAGUGGGGAAAAAAAUGCUUUGCACUAAAACCAAUUCUAUCUAAUUCUUCUUAAAAGAUAGGUGUUAAAAUAACAUCUCAAACAGUUAUGUUGUAGUCAAUUGUAUUUCAAUUUUAUAAGGCACUAAUAAAUGUAUGACUACAUUCCA
Long non-coding RNA from Mastomys coucha (southern multimammate mouse), 318 nucleotides. RefSeq lists it as uncharacterized. The transcript has 2 exons. Lineage: Eukaryota; Metazoa; Chordata; Mammalia; Rodentia; Muridae. The record is from RefSeq and is a predicted model, not a curated record.